CGGAACGUGCCCGAUCGUGGGGGAUAACGAGGCGAAAGCUUUGCUAAUACCGCAUACGAUCUACGGAUGAAAGCGGGGGAUCUUCGGACCUCGCGCGGACGGAGCGGCCGAUGGCAGAUUAGGUAGUUGGUGGGAUAAAAGCUUACCAAGCCGACGAUCUGUAGCUGGUCUGAGAGGAUGAUCAGCCACACUGGGACUGAGACACGGCCCAGACUCCUACGGGAGGCAGCAGUGGGGAAUUUUGGACAAUGGGCGAAAGCCUGAUCCAGCCAUGCCGCGUGCAGGAUGAAGGCCUUCGGGUUGUAAACUGCUUUUGUACGGAACGAAAAGCCUCUUUCUAAUAAAGAGGGGUCAUGACGGUACCGUAAGAAUAAGCACCGGCUAACUACGUGCAGCAGCCGCGGUAAUACGUAGGGUGCAAGCGUUAAUCGGAAUUACUGGGCGUAAAGCGUGCGCAGGCGGUUUUGUAAGACAGAGGUGAAAUCCCCGGGCUCAACCUGGGAACUGCCUUUGUGACUGCAAGGCUGGAGUGCGGCAGAGGGGGAUGGAAUUCCGCGU
RNAcentral lists this ribosomal RNA (558 nucleotides) under uncultured bacterium. Its description in RNAcentral is "bacterial SSU rRNA". It matches the Rfam family "Bacterial small subunit ribosomal RNA", at positions 119 to 674 of the family's 1533-position model. The record is from RNAcentral.